GCUCACGCUGCACUAUCGGAUCGUUUUAGAAACAUCAGUGGCCAACAGAUCGCCAGAUCGUUGAGCUGCAUUGGCGGGAUUUCGCCGUCUUCGUUUCUCUUUCUUCGCGGACGAACACGCGCCGGGGCUGCGCUGUGCGAUUGCAUUCGGCGCUUGUCGCCGGUUGCUGCACGCCGAGACCCUACUCCUUGAUAGGAUAGCGUUAGGGGCUUGUAGCUCAGUUGGUUAGAGCGCGCGCUUGAUAAGCGUGAGGUCGGAAGUUCAAGUCUUCCCAGGCCCACCACUUUCAUCGAGUGAGCAUUCGUCUUCUGGUUACGGGGCCAUAGCUCAGCUGGGAGAGCGCGUGCUUUGCAAGCAUGAGGUCGUCGGUUCGAUCCCGUCUGGCUCCACCAGAUGGUUUGAUCACCGAGAUCUUGUACCGUCGUCCGCGAAACAUCACUUCGCAUUCGCUAGUCUGGAUAGACAGUGAACUGCGUGUUUUCUGACAUCGUAAAGAGGAGAUCGAUCCGAGCUGGGUCGUGCAGCAAAUUGUUGCGCGGGCCUUCAUUAUCUCCGGAUCAUUUUCGGCGCUCGCUUCCAGCCGUGAGGUUGGAUGCGAGUUGUAAAAUGAUCCUUUUAGCGAAGCUUGACCGCCUCGCUAUCGGAACGAUCUUACGAAGCAAGCUGGUCUUUCUAGUCAAUGUCCGGCUGCAGAUAGCGUUCAUCGAGGGCGCGUGCCGCAAGGUAGUUCUGCAGACAACAUUCUGCCGAGUGUGUGGACAUUGAUAAUGAGAGCAAUCAAGUGCCUUAAGGGUGUUCGGUGGAUGCCUUGGCGCUGAGAGGCGAUGAAGGACGUGCUACGCUGCGAUAAGCCGUGGG
RNAcentral lists this unclassified non-coding RNA (858 nucleotides) under Bradyrhizobium sp. Its description in RNAcentral is "partial 16S-23S ribosomal RNA intergenic spacer". The stretch from base 207 to 280 matches the Rfam family "tRNA". The record is from RNAcentral. Lineage: Bacteria; Pseudomonadati; Pseudomonadota; Alphaproteobacteria; Hyphomicrobiales; Nitrobacteraceae.